RNAcentral lists this ribosomal RNA (811 nucleotides) under marine metagenome. Its description in RNAcentral is "bacterial SSU rRNA". It matches the Rfam family "Bacterial small subunit ribosomal RNA", at positions 8 to 816 of the family's 1533-position model. The record is from RNAcentral.
AGAGUUUGAUCCUGGCUCAGGACAAACGCUGGCGGCGUGCUUAACACAUGCAAGUCUAAGGAGAACGUUAUUUUCGGAUAACAAGUAAACUGGCGGACGGGUGAGUAACGCGUAGGCUACCUACCUUUAAGAUUGGGAUAACGUUUGGAAACGAACGCUAAUACCAAAUAAUAUUCUUUGAAUCAAAGGGGGCUUCGGCUCUUGCUUAAAGAUGGGCCUGCGUCUGAUUAGCUAGAUGGUAAGGUAAUGGCUUACCAUGGCAACGAUCAGUAGCUGGUUCGAGAGGAUGAUCAGCCACACUGGGACUGAGAUACGGCCCAGACUCCUACGGGAGGCAGCAGUGGGGAAUUUUGCGCAAUGAGGGAAACCUUGACGCAGCAACGCCGCGUGAUCGAAGAAGCUUCUAGGAGUGUAAAGAUCUGUCAUAGGGGAAGAAAUGCUUAUAUUCUAACACAAUAUUUGCUUGACGGUACCCUAUAAGAAAGCUCCGGCUAACUAGGUGCCAGCAGCCGCGGUAAUACCUGGGGGGCAAGCGUUGUCCGGAUUCAUUGGGCGUAAAGGGCUCGUAGGUGGACUGACCAGUCAAAAUUGAAAUACAAUGGCUUAACCAUUGGCACGGUUUUGAUACUAUCAGUCUUGAGUGAAAUAGAGGUAAGCGGAAUUCCUAGUGUAGCGGUGAAAUGCGUAGAUAUUAGGAGGAACACCAAAGGCGAAGGCAGCUUACUGGAUUUAUACUGACACUGAGGAGCGAAAGCGUGGGUAGCGAACAGGAUUAGAGACCCUGGUAGUCCACGCCGUAAACGAUGAGCAC